GAUGAAGAACGUAGCGAAAUGCGAUAAGUAAUGUGAAUUGCAGAAUUCAGUGAAUCAUCGAGUCUUUGAACGCACAUUGCGCCCCCUGGUAUUCCGGGGGGCAUGCCUGUCCGAGCGUCAUUGCUGCCCUCAAGCACGGCUUGUGUGUUGGGCCCCCGUCCCCGGUUUCCCCCGGGGACGGGCCCGAAAGGCAGCGGCGGCACCGCGUCCGGUCCUUGAGCGUAUGGGGCUUUGUCACCCGCUCUGUAGGCCCGGCCGGCGCCAGCCGACACCCAACUUUAUUUCUAAGGUUGACCUCGGAUCAGGUAGGGAUACCCGCUGAACUUAAGCAUAUCAAUAAGCGGAGGA
RNAcentral lists this unclassified non-coding RNA (348 nucleotides) under soil metagenome. RNAcentral's name for it is "partial contains 5.8S ribosomal RNA, internal transcribed spacer 2, and large subunit ribosomal RNA". The stretch from base 1 to 120 matches the Rfam family "5.8S ribosomal RNA", at positions 35 to 154 of the family's 154-position model. The record is from RNAcentral.